GACGAACGCUGGCGGCGUGCUUAACACAUGCAAGUCGAACGAUGAAGCCGGAGCUUGCUCUGGUGAAUUAGUGGCGAACGGGUGAGUAACACGUGAGUAACCUGCCCUUGACUCUGGGAUAACUGCUAGAAAUGGUAGCUAAUACCGGAUACGACCCUCGGCGGCAUCGCCAGGGGGUGGAAGGAAUUUCGGUCAAGGAUGGACUCGCGGCCUAGCAGCUAGUUGGUGAGGUAACGGCUCACCAAGGCGACGACGGGUAGCCGGCCUGAGAGGGUGACCGGCCACACUGGGACUGAGACACGGCCCAGACUCCUACGGGAGGCAGCAGUGGGGAAUAUUGCACAAUGGGCGCAAGCCUGAUGCAGCAACGCCGCGUGAGGGAUGGCGGCCUUCGGGUUGUAAACCUCUUUUAGUAGGGAAGAAGCGAAAGUGACGGUACCUGCAGAAAAAGCACCGGCUAACUGCGUGCCAGCCGCCGCUGUAA
Molecule: ribosomal RNA, 484 nt
Filed under: uncultured bacterium
Lineage: Bacteria
Description: partial 16S ribosomal RNA
Rfam family: Bacterial small subunit ribosomal RNA
Source: RNAcentral